RNAcentral lists this ribosomal RNA (468 nucleotides) under uncultured bacterium. Its description in RNAcentral is "partial 16S ribosomal RNA". It matches the Rfam family "Bacterial small subunit ribosomal RNA", at positions 28 to 507 of the family's 1533-position model. The record is from RNAcentral.
GACGAACGCUGGCGGCGUGCUUAACACAUGCAAGUCGAACGGAAAGGCCCUGCUUUUGUGGGGUGCUCGAUUGGCGAACGGGUGAGUAACACGUGAGUAACCUGCCCUUGACUUUGGGAUAACUUCAGGAAACUGGGGCUAAUACCGGAUAUGAUCUCCUGCUGCAUGGUGGGGGUUGGAAAGUUUCGGCGGUUGGGGAUGGACUCGCGGGUUAUCAGCUUGUUGGUGGGGUAGUGGCUUACCAAGGCUUUGACGGGUAGCCGGCCUGAGAGGGUGGCCGGCGACCUUGGGACUGAGAGAGGGAGCAGACGCGUACGGGAGGCAGCAGUGGGGAAUAUUGCAGAAUGGGCGGAAGCCUGAUGCAGCAACGCCGCGUGCGGGAUGACGGCCUUCGGGGUGUAAACCGCUUUCGCCGGAGACGAAGCGUGAGUGACGGUAAUGGGUAAAGAAGCACCGGCUAACUACGUG